UAUGUGAUCGUCUCUCGCAUAUCAAUAAGCGGAGGAAAAGAAACUAACAAGGAUUCCCCUAGUAACGGCGAGUGAAGCGGGAAGAGCUCAAAUUUGAAAUCUUAAAGGGUUUCCCUUUACGAAUUGUAGUUUAAAGAAGUGUUUUCUGUUGAGGUUUUGGUAAAAGUUCUUUGGAAUAGGACAUCAUAGAGGGUGAGAAUCCCGUAUUUGGCCUUUACUUUCAACUUUGUGAUACACUUUCAAAGAGUCGGAUUGUUUGGGAAUGCAGUCCAAAAUGGGUGGUAAAUUUCAUCUAAAGCUAAAUAUUGGCGAGAGACCGAUAGCGAACAAGUACCGUGAGGGAAAGAUGAAAAGAACUUUGAAAAGAGAGUUAAACAGUACGUGAAAUUGUCAAAAGGGAAGCGUUUGACACCAGUGUUGUUUUUCUGAAAAUCAAUUAAAGAACUGUUUAUGCUAAGCUGUUUAGACUUUAUCAGCUAUCUGUUUAGUUUUGAGCUUUUCUUUAAUGCACUUUUCAGUUAACAAGUCAACAUCAAUCUCUUUUGCUGUAAAAAAGCUUGAGGAAGGUGGCUUGAGACUCGUCUUAAGUGUUUAUAGCCUCUUGCCUAUGCAGUCGGAGAGAUUGAGGUCUGCAGCGUAGAUCCUUCGGGGCUAAAUGCAUUUGUGCUAAGUUAUAGCAUUUUAUAGACAACUUGUUGACUAUGAUUUGUCUUGUAGCUUACUCGCUUAUGUUAUUUUACCUACGCUUAGGAUGUUGAGCGCAUGUCUCUCUCU
RNAcentral lists this ribosomal RNA (774 nucleotides) under uncultured Neocallimastigales. RNAcentral describes it as "partial large subunit ribosomal RNA". It matches the Rfam family "Eukaryotic large subunit ribosomal RNA", at positions 24 to 616 of the family's 3401-position model. The record is from RNAcentral. Lineage: Eukaryota; Fungi; Neocallimastigomycota; Neocallimastigomycetes; Neocallimastigales.